Molecule: ribosomal RNA, 436 nt
Filed under: Acrapex sp. ACZAG7118
Lineage: Eukaryota; Metazoa; Arthropoda; Insecta; Lepidoptera; Noctuidae
Description: partial 16S large subunit ribosomal RNA
Source: RNAcentral
UAAAAUUAAAGGGCUGCAGUAUAUUGACUGUACAAAGGUAGCAUAAUCAAUAGUCAUUUAAUUAGUGACUUGUAUGAAAGAUUGGAUGAAAUAUAAACUGUCUUUUAUUUAAUUAUAAAAUUUAAUUUUUUUUUUAAAAAGUUAAAAUAAUUUAAAAAGACGAGAAGACCCUAUAGAGUUUUAUAAGUAAUUAAAUUAAGAUUAUUUUGAAAAUUAAGUUUUAAAUUUAGUUUAUUUAUUUUGUUGGGGUGACAGAAAAAUAUAAAAAACUUUUUUUUUUUAUAAAGACAUUUAUAAUUGAUUAAGAUGAUCCAAUAAUAUUGAUUAUAAGAAAAAAUUACCUUAGGGAUAACAGCGUAAUUUUUUUUUUUAGUUCGAAUAAAAAGAAGAGUUUGCGACCUCGAUGUUGGAUUAAGAUAAAGAUUAGGUGUAGAAG